GGGCUUAAUGGUAGCAGGGCUUGUGCCUGCAUCCAGAGCUGCUCUCAUACCGAUGCAAGAAGGUCGCUGCUUUUAGACAUGCUUCUCUGACUUACAUGUCCAUCACACUGAUGAGCUCGGUCACCAGUGAAAAGGAGGACAGGGCUGUAUCAGGGAAUGUCACGAUACUGAUCCUCUCCUGGGUGCUCGCAGGAUGGGAAGGGGUCAGGAGGCUUAUCCCCAUAGUGCUUAAUUUGGUACCAGCCCUUGGCACCAGUGGUUUUGGAGCUGACGCCGGUGUGCCUGUGUGCCAGGGGAGCAGUGGCCCCAGCAAGGAGGCAGGACUCAGGCUCCCUCAGCACCUCUGUGGGAUGUUUGCCCUGAUGUCAAGGUCUUGAGAGGUGCAGCAGGGGUGUUUAACCAGGAGCUAGGUGCGUGUCUGGGUAUUUAUAGGCUGGGACUGUGAGAGUUGCACUGUGUUAUCUUCAAAAGAUAGACUGGCAUGAGCCUGGGCUUGAGGAUUUUUACACGUUUUCCCUUGUUUGCGGAGCAGGACCCAGAGUGCUGUGGCUGGGGUGUCUGGAGCCGGCAGAGAUGUGCGGGAGAUGGCCAAGGGACUCAUCCCUCCUUGCUCCUAUUUUUGGAUCUGUAGAUGAACCCCUUCACUUGCUGCAGGCUGAAAUUGCUGGGGAUGGACAACAACAACCCUGGCAGGCGCUGGCAGCAGGCAGCGUGACUGGCGGCUGACGGGAUGGGGUGCUGAAACUGCCCUGAGAAGACCAUCAUUUAUGCGAUCACAUCUACAAUGUGACAAAACUCCGAAGCAACUGAGCCUUCUGGUCCUGGGAGGAGGGUGGGCUCAGAAAGGUGAGGGUCAGCACCCCAUGGUGACCCAAGGAUUGGCUUAAAAUUGCAAUGUGUUCCUUGGAGUGGGAGCAACACCCAACUUCAACUGGUGAUUUGGUGAAUCAAUCCCAACCCCCCUGGGGCAGCUGCUGCUGUGUGAAUAUAUGCUCAUGAAGGCUGUAAAUUUAUUGUCCUAUUUAUUGUCGCCUUACUACUCCUAAGCUCCAGCUUCACUUGCUGCCGCAGCCAGCACUUUCCAACGUGCCUGCCUGGAGUUAAGAUCUUGAACCCAUGUUUAAGCACCUUGGCAAACACAGUCUGCGGGUUUGCACACCCUCUAUCUGAGCUUUCGCAUGCAAAACACCCUGUUAAUAAUUAUCUGCAGCAUGGGAGUUGG
Long non-coding RNA from Strigops habroptila (Kakapo), 1222 nucleotides. RefSeq lists it as uncharacterized. The transcript is spliced from 3 exons. The record is from RefSeq and is a predicted model, not a curated record. Lineage: Eukaryota; Metazoa; Chordata; Aves; Psittaciformes; Psittacidae.